GUGAACGCUGGCGGUAGGCCUAACACAUGCAAGUCGAACGGCAGCACAGUAAGAGCUUGCCCUUACGGUUGGCGAGUGGCGGACGGGUGAGGAAUACAUCGGAAUCUACUUUUUCGUGGGGGAUAACGUAGGGAAACUUACGCUAAUACCGCAUACGACCUACGGGUGAAAGCAGGGGAUCUUCGGACCUUGCGCGAUUGAAUGAGCCGAUGUCGGAUUAGCUAGUUGGCGGGGUAAAGGCCCACCAAGGCGACGAUCCGUAGCUGGUCUGAGAGGAUGAUCAGCCACACUGGAACUGAGACACGGUCCAGACUCCUACGGGAGGCAGCAGUGGGGAAUAUUGGACAAUGGGCGCAAGCCUGAUCCAGCCAUACCGCGUGGGUGAAGAAGGCCUUCGGGUUGUAAAGCCCUUUUGUUGGGAAAGAAAAGCAGCAGGUUAAUACCCCGCUGUUCUGACGGUACCCAAAGAAUAAGCACCGGCUAACUUCGUG
This 491-nucleotide ribosomal RNA is filed under the name uncultured bacterium. RNAcentral's name for it is "partial 16S ribosomal RNA". It matches the Rfam family "Bacterial small subunit ribosomal RNA", at positions 29 to 507 of the family's 1533-position model. The record is from RNAcentral.